Molecule: ribosomal RNA, 752 nt
Filed under: Escherichia fergusonii
Lineage: Bacteria; Pseudomonadati; Pseudomonadota; Gammaproteobacteria; Enterobacterales; Enterobacteriaceae
Description: bacterial SSU rRNA
Rfam family: Bacterial small subunit ribosomal RNA
Source: RNAcentral
UGCAGUCGAACGGUAACAGAAAGAAGCUUGCUUCUUUGCUGACGAGUGGCGGACGGGUGAGUAAUGUCUGGGAAACUGCCCGAUGGAGGGGGAUAACUACUGGAAACGGUAGCUAAUACCGCAUAAUGUCGCAAGACCAAAGAGGGGGACCUUCGGGCCUCUUGCCAUCGGAUGUGCCCAGAUGGGAUUAGCUAGUAGGCGGGGUAACGGCCCACCUAGGCGACGAUCUCUAGCUGGUCUGAGAGGAUGACCAGCCACACUGGAACUGAGACACGGUCCAGACUCCUACGGGAGGCAGCAGUGGGGAAUAUUGCACAAUGGGCGCAAGCCUGAUGCAGCCAUGCCGCGUGUAUGAAGAAGGCCUUCGGGUUGUAAAGUACUUUCAGCGGGGAGGAAGGGAGUAAAGUUAAUACCUUUGCUCAUUGACGUUACCCGCAGAAGAAGCACCGGCUAACUCCGUGCCAGCAGCCGCGGUAAUACGGAGGGUGCAAGCGUUAAUCGGAAUUACUGGGCGUAAAGCGCACGCAGGCGGUUUGUUAAGUCAGAUGUGAAAUCCCCGGGCUCAACCUGGGAACUGCAUCUGAUACUGGCAAGCUUGAGUCUCGUAGAGGGGGGGUAGAAUUCCAGGUGUAGCGGUGAAAUGCGUAUAGAUCUGGAGGAAUACCGGUGGCGAAGGGGGCCCCCUGGACAAAAACUGACGCUCAGGUGCGAAAGCGUGCGGAGCAAAGAGGAUUAGAUACCCCGGGGAGUCC